CUGAACUCCAAGUCAACCUAGCUGGGUAGUGUUCGUGGCGGUUCCUUCUAUGACUGGACACUUGCAACUGGCGUGUGAACGUUCGAUUUACCGUCUCUUAGCCCUCUCGCUGACAGCUCCUUUUUGCCGCUGGGAUUGUUCUCCUUUUCCCGUACCAUGGUGCGCUCUGUGGCUUGCAGCCGCAGCAACUGCCGCCGUUUGAAGCGCUCAUCCCGGCUGGCACUGUGGUGGUCACUGGGGCCAGCCCCAGGGGAUGACCGAGUCACCAUACCCCGGGGAGAAACCGGGUCGUGGAUGAGCUGCAGCAUGGAAGUAGCUCUUUCACAAUCAAGUGAUGUAUCAUGUUGAUGAAAGAAAAGCAGUUCAUCUAACCAUGGACAAAGAAGCAGGGGAGAGAGUACCAGACUUCACUACCUCUCAGCUGUCAACUCUACAGUAUCUCAAUUCAGCUCUCCAGGAGGAACCCUGCCACUUCAGAGAUCUGCUUAUGAUUAUGGUGAAGAAUCUUACAACUCCUAGGCCUCAUACUGUAGUACCUAUGCUUUUCACAUGCCUGUCCUUUCCUGAGACCACUUCGGCUAUGCUGUGACAAAAUUCAGUCAAUAUAUGCCACUAAAUACACUCUUAAUAAAUCAGAUUUCCCAUAAGGA
Peromyscus eremicus (cactus mouse) is the source of this 650-nucleotide long non-coding RNA. RefSeq lists it as uncharacterized. The record is from RefSeq and is a predicted model, not a curated record. NCBI's taxonomy places the organism in Eukaryota, Metazoa, Chordata, Mammalia, Rodentia, Cricetidae. The transcript has 3 exons.